RNAcentral lists this ribosomal RNA (1346 nucleotides) under uncultured bacterium. RNAcentral describes it as "partial 16S ribosomal RNA". It matches the Rfam family "Bacterial small subunit ribosomal RNA", at positions 28 to 1381 of the family's 1533-position model. The record is from RNAcentral.
GACGAACGCUGGCGGCGUGCUUAACACAUGCUAGUCGAACGGAAAGGCCCUGCUUUUGUGGGGUGCUCGAGUGGCGAACGGGUGAGUAACACGUGAGUAACCUGCCCUUGACUUUGGGAUAACUUCAGGAAACUGGGGCUAAUACCGGAUAGGAGCUCCUGCUGCAUGGUGGGGGUUGGAAAGUUUCGGCGGUUGGGGAUGGACUCGCGGCUUAUCAGCUUGUUGGUGGGGUAGUGGCUUACCAAGGCUUUGACGGGUAGCCGGCCUGAGAGGGUGACCGGCCACAUUGGGACUGAGAUACGGCCCAGACUCCUACGGGAGGCAGCAGUGGGGAAUAUUGCACAAUGGGCGGAAGCCUGAUGCAGCAACGCCGCGUGCGGGAUGACGGCCUUCGGGUUGUAAACCGCUUUCGCCUGUGACGAAGCGUGAGUGACGGUAAUGGGUAAAGAAGCACCGGCUAACUACGUGCCAGCAGCCGCGGUGAUACGUAGGGUGCGAGCGUUGUCCGGAUUUAUUGGGCGUAAAGGGCUCGUAGGUGGUUGAUCGCGUCGGAAGUGUAAUCUUGGGGCUUAACCCUGAGCGUGCUUUCGAUACGGGUUGACUUGAGGAAGGUAGGGGAGAAUGGAAUUCCUGGUGGAGCGGUGGAAUGCGCAGAUAUCAGGAGGAACACCAGUGGCGAAGGCGGUUCUCUGGGCCUUUCCUGACGCUGAGGAGCGAAAGCGUGGGGAGCGAACAGGCUUAGAUACCCUGGUAGUCCACGCUGUAAACGGUGGGUACUAGGUGUGGGGUCCAUUCCACGGGUUCCGUGCCGUAGCUAACGCUUUAAGUACCCCGCCUGGGGAGUACGGCCGCAAGGCUAAAACUCAAAGGAAUUGACGGGGCCCCGCACAAGCGGCGGAGCAUGCGGAUUAAUUCGAUGCAACGCGUAGAACCUUACCUGGGUUUGACAUGGAUCGGGAGUGCUCAGAGAUGGGUGUGCCUCUUUUGGGGUCGGUUCACAGGUGGUGCAUGGCUGUCGUCAGCUCGUGUCGUGAGAUGUUGGGUUAAGUCCCGCAACGAGCGCAACCCUUGUUCACUGUUGCCAGCACGUUAUGGUGGGGACUCAGUGGAGACCGCCGGGGUCAACUCGGAGGAAGGUGGGGAUGACGUCAAGUCAUCAUGCCCCUUAUGUCCAGGGCUUCACGCAUGCUACAAUGGCUGGUACAGAGAGUGGCGAGCCUGUGAGGGUGAGCGAAUCUCGGAAAGCCGGUCUCAGUUCGGAUUGGGGUCUGCAACUCGACCUCAUGAAGUCGGAGUCGCUAGUAAUCGCAGAUCAGCAACGCUGCGGUGAAUACAAUCCCGGGGCU